GGCGCUUCACACCCACCUAGAGGAGCCUGUUCUAGAACCGAUGACCCCCGUUAAACCUCACCUUCUCUUGUUCCCCCCGCCUAUAUACCGCCGUCGUCAGCCCACCCUGUGAAGGCCCCGCAGUGGGCAGAACUGGCAUAGCCCAAAACGUCAGGCCGAGGUGUAGCGUAUGAGAAGGGAAGAAAUGGGCUACAAUUGCCUAAACAGCUAAAACGAAUUGUUGCGCUGAAACUGCAAACAUGAAGGAGGAUUUAGAAGUAAGGGGGGGGAAACAGAGUGCCCCCCUGAAACGGUUCUGAAGCGUGCACACACCGCCCGUCACUCUCCCCAAGCUAGAACCUAAAACAAUAACUAAGCUCUUUGACCUACAAAGGGGAGGCAAGUCGUAACAUGGUAAGUGUACCGGAAGGUGCACUUGGAAGAAAC
Molecule: ribosomal RNA, 426 nt
Filed under: Fibramia lateralis (humpback cardinal)
Lineage: Eukaryota; Metazoa; Chordata; Actinopteri; Kurtiformes; Apogonidae
Description: partial 12S ribosomal RNA
Rfam family: Bacterial small subunit ribosomal RNA
Source: RNAcentral